This 4166-nucleotide long non-coding RNA is filed under the name Anas platyrhynchos platyrhynchos (common mallard). RNAcentral describes it as "lncRNA (ENSAPLG00000028635.1)". The record is from RNAcentral. Lineage: Eukaryota; Metazoa; Chordata; Aves; Anseriformes; Anatidae.
AUGCACAUCAUCGUUUGUGUGUCCAUUACUUCCAGAGUCUGUUGUUUCAGGGCACCUGAAAGGAAGGUGAGGGCUGGCACAGUACAGUUCAACCUUCUCCGACUCCCUGGUGCUCCUCAGCCUGCCCACCUCCUCCCGAAGCUCUGCCAGGAGGCUGAGCAGUUCUUCUACCUGGGCGCACCUACCACAGGUGGACUCACAGGAUGGGAUGUCAGGAAGAAUUUCUUCAUGCAAAGGGUGGAACCGGCUGCCCAGGGCACUGCUGGAGUCCCAGGCCUGGAGCUAUUAAAGAAAUGCGUGGACUUGGCGCUAAGGGCCGUGGUUUUGUGGUGGGCCUGGUGGUGUUAGCUGACGCUUGGACUUGAGCUGAAGGCCCUUUUCCAAGCGCAAGGGUUCUGUGACUCUUUCACUGGUUGAGUAGGCGCCAUGCAGUCACCGGGCCCAGGGAAAAGACGUCCUUGGUGGCCUCCAAGUUAGCUCAGCGUCAUGGCACCGAGUCACUGUGAAGGAGCUGCUGGAAUAACGAGACAACAACCUAGUUCUAUUCAAAUAUAUAUUGCUCUUUUGAGGACUGCUGCGGGGCUAGCAGCACCACAGCAGUGGAAAUCUCCGUCCUGACAUUGCCUUAUGCCUUGACGUCAGGAUCAGGGUGGUUUGAACUGCCAGGGAAUGGACCAUGGGUUCUGGGUCUUUAUAUGAAGGCUGGAGGACUGCAAAAGAAAGAAGAGCAGAGAUGAAAACCCACUCCUUGCAGAGAUCCCCAGGCAUCCCCUGCAGACCAUGCCAGCCCCACUCGACUCUUCCCCAGGCCAGGAGGAGCAGGAGGGACAAAGGAAUCCGUUGAAAGCUGCUGCUCAGCAAUGUCCCAAAUGCAGCCACCAGUCCUUCCCCACCUGCGCACCACAGGUCAAGUGGGGCACCUUCACAAGCUGGUUCCCUCACCACCUGCCUCCAUCCCUUGGGAGGAUUCACACACUCCAGGAAUCUCCUGGACUCUUUCCUCUCGCUAUUGUGCUUCCCCAUGAGAGCAAGGGCUAGCAAUCGUGACCCUGCUCCUAGCUGCUUGUAGGCUGUCUCAUCUCCCUCUUCGUCCUGGUUGCGUGCUCUACAACAGGCUCCCACCUUCUGUCAGCCUUACUGCCCUUUCCCCUGACUCUUCCUCAGGGACACUCAACCCUUUCAGCGGCACUGCCCAGCUCCAGGCUGGGAGGCCAUUCCCUGACACCACAGGCUACCCCGUCUCCUCUCCCUCGUUCCUAUGGCUGCAUUGCUCCUCCGCCCCGAAGCAUUUCCCUGGAGCAGGGCAAGGCACGGGGGCCUCUGCCGCUGUCCCCCCAGCCCUAGCACACCCCCCACUGCCCUCACUCACCUCUGAGGAUUUCAUUCAGCUUCUCCUCGCUCUGGUCCUUGCAUUAGUGCGCAGCAACGCCCUAGAUUCGCCAAAGAUUUUAAACUCAACUUCUUUGUGAUUGCUAUGACCAAAAUAGCUAGCAAUCACCACUUCCCAUGUGGCUGCCCCCUCUGAGGUUUUUUUUUUUUUUUUUGUAUAUAUGAAGAAAGGUUUGGGCUAAUUUCAGUUGAAAUAUUUUCAGUUGCUUGCUUGGCCAUAUUGUCCUUUCAAUGUUGAAAUCUGAAGCAAAACCACGGGAAUUGUUGCUUCUAGGAGUAGCCCAGUUCUCUUGUCUGCACUCUGCAUUCUAUUGAUCUAAACCAUAUUUAAAACCAAACCAAACUAAACAAACAAACAAACAAACAAACAAAAAACAUCUGCUGCUCUUCCUGCUCUCUUUGUCUCUUUCUCCCUUCUUUUGCUUUGCCCUUCCCCUUUCCCAGGUGACUGGAGUGGAGUGCUAGGCAGGGUCUAAUGGUAUACGAGUCCCAGGCAUCCCAUCAGAGCUCCUUAUGCCUGAGCUGCUCUUUAGGGUAAGUGCUUUGUUUUUCCUUUAGCUGGUUGCAGGAUUCUUUAGGUGGGUCAGAGUCUGUGGGCUGAUGCAUUUCCAAGUUGAGAGAGGUAAGCAAGUCUUUUUGAGGUAACAGCUAGUAGGAGCUUUUAGAGUAAAGCAAUCUAUAUAGUAGUAGGUGCCUUUAUUGCAUGCAGCUCUUCUUCAGAUGAGUAAUUAUUAUAGCAUGUUUACGGAUAGGAUGACGAUGUUACUUUGUGUGUUUGCUUUGUGCUUCUAGGUCCCUUGUGAUGUUUCCAGAAUAACAGGGCUUACUGUGAAUGUGACCUUAUGUCUUCACUUGUGUGUCGAAUACUGUCAAAGUUACAGCCUUGGUGGUAAAGUGAUACAUGCAGAGCAGGGCUUAGGGAAAAUGUAUCAUCCAAGUUCCCUGUGCCAGUAUGUAUCUGAAAACAGCAGCAGUAGGCACCUAAGGUGUAGUCUUUUUCAGGGUUAGGAACAGUUUGUUAUAUUUUUGGAGCUUUUUCCUGCUGUUUUGCUGGCUGUAUAUUUUUUAGACCUUGUAGCCUGCUAGAUUCUAAGUGCUUGGAAUUCCCUUAGUAGAGGGAUAUUUAGCAGAGGUUGCUGGCUAACUUGGUUUUGGGACACGGUGGGGUACGCUUCUGGUUUUGGGUUAUGUUUUAAUCUCAAGAUAGAUCAAGCCAUUUGUGUAACUCUCCAGAGGAUUCACAAAGAGCUUCAGUACGCACCGCAAGAGUCUUGACCACAUAGGCACAAUAUUACCAAGAGACUGAGCAGGGUCACCUUUUUCAGCUGUAAAGGAUAAGUCUGUGAUUCCCUCUGUUGGGGCUGCUGUGUAUUCAUGGCCUUUUGGCAUUUGUGGACCUAAGGGUUUUUUUUCUGUCUCUGGUCUCUGCGCUUGAGUCCUCUGCAAGGAGCUGUGCUGUUUGCGUGUCCAUCAUGGAUAUGACCAUCUCUCUUUGUUUCUCAUAGCCCCGGGCAUAGGCAAUUUGAACAAGGCAUGAGGAUGAGUGGAUGACACUGUGGGCCAUGAGUUGGUCAGUUGGUUUUGUUAGUCUGUUUUGCCUGGCAGGCAGGCUUAGCAAGCACCUUGUGAUGGCAGCAUUCAUCUUCUGCCAUGUUCCUGUGUCACGCCAGGCAUCAGCGGUUCCAGUUCCUGAAAUGCUGGAGAUGCUGGGAGUGCUAGAGGAGCUGGGAGCGUGAUGCAUCUCCUUGGGAUGUUAGGUGAGCGAAGCAGUGGUACUGGGUUGGGGCACGUGGCUCUGGGGCUUCUUGGCUGUUGGGGUAGGGGAGAAAACAAGAGGGGUGGGUAUAGGCUGUUUUGUGGAUUGUCACAUUUGUCUGUUCUUUCUCUUUGGUCUAACCUAUGUGACCUUGGCUUGGCAUGGUGAAUGGAUGCACUAAACCUUGAUCGCGAAGGUGAGUGGAGAAAAGAUGGAAAAUGGGAAUGGUUUUUGGUUUGGUAGUCUAUCAGUCCACCUCUGGGUGACUCCUCUUUUCAGGGGAUGAAGAAGAAUCUGUCGACAUCCUAGUUGGCCUCUGUGGUCCACACUGAGGAUGGAUUCUGACCCCUGAGAAUUAAAUCAAGGGGCAAAUACUGUGUGUUGGGAGUGGUUGGCAGGGGGCGGCGGGGAGUUGUCCAGCAAGUUGUCUAUCUGACUUGAGUAGCAGAGCAGGUCAGUUGACUACCGUUCUGCUUCUGAGGAGGGUGUUACAUUGGAAGAAGUUUGGCUGGUGUGCCAGUUCCUGAUGGCCCUUUAUUUCUGCAGGUGAAGAGGAGCCUCGUACCUGAAGCCAUGUUGUGGGAAUAGAAAUGUUGUUUUUGCAGAGUUACGCUGUUUAGAAGGAGGGAAUGUGGUACUGAGAUAUGCUUAGUGAUAAGACGGUUUAGCAGGCGACCUAGUAAAAUGCAGACAAGCAGACUCCUUAGGACAAUUAGGUGAAAAUCACGGUGUCAAGUCAAGUCAGAUAAGUGAAGAAACAUUACCACUUCAAGCAGUAAAAAUGUCAAAAGAAAUUUGAAAUUUAGCAGGCCGGCAACUGAAGGCCAUGCGUUGUUUGUGAAGCAUCAGAUAGAUUGUGAACCUGGAUUACCCACUCAGUGGGGAAACAGGGGAGGGUCCUGCCAUCAAAAGGUAUAUAAACUGUGUUUUGGAACUAGUAGAUGCGCUCUCUCCUGCUUGUGGGGCGCCCGCCAUUGCAAUCGCGAAUAAAUUACUACUUCACUGAGAUCCUCGCCUGAGC